CUUGGGAACCAGCCAGUGCUUGACUGGAGGGAGGGGAAGGGGUAGAAGAACAUCCUUCAGGAGGGGAGAAUGGCUUUGGCAAAGAUCUGUGCCUAUAAUCUUGGACGGAAGGAAGGAAGGAAGAAAGAAAGGAAGAAAGGAAGGAAGGAUCCAAAUCAGUCAAUAAGCAUAUUUCAAGCCAAAACACAGUGCUUGUCCUCAAGGAGCUUACCUUCUAAUGAGAGAGACAACGUGCAAACAGCUGUAUGUACAAGACAAAUGGGAGGCAGUUUGAGGGGGAAGGCACCAGCAACUGGAGAGAGCAGGAUGGUCCCCCUGCAGAUGGUGGGAUUGGAACUGAGUCAUGAUGGAAGCCAAAAGACAAAGAAGAUGGAGAGUGUUCUGGCUGUGGGAGAUGAUGGGUGCAAAGACAGAUUUGGGAGAUGGAGCCUGAAGGCCAGUGUUGGUGUUUCACAAUUCUGCUCCUUCCCAGGUAUCCUAGGAUUAAUCACUUUUCCAGGCUGUCACCAACUUUCUGGCAACAAAAAAAAUCACCCUUGAAAUUCAUGUCACCUCAGAGGUAAUCAUGGGAUGGAGAAUAUAAAUGCUGGACGAGACCUUAGAUGUCAUCUACCCUCAUUUCCUCAUUUUGUAGUUGGGAAAACUGAGAUCAUGGAAGGGAAGCAACUCCCCUAAAGUUGUACGUUGAGCCAGAGCCUUGGUUAGAAUCCAGAGAAGUCUUCUAACUCAGGUCAGGAUGUUUUUUCAGGUUUUCAUUUUGGUUUUUACAGUUUUUAAAAAAGGAUUUUUAUUUAAAGUUCAUAUUUUUUAAUGUGUAGGAAUACAAUUAUAAUACUUUAAUUGGGAGAGAGGAGCCUGAUCUAUCUUUUGUUUUUGUAUCACCUUUAAAAUAUCUAAAUAUAUACCACCCCCAACCAGUGAGCCAUUCCGUGUGGCAAAAAUUGAAAAAGAAAGAGGGGGAGAAGCAGCCUAGCAAAACAAUUAGACAAAUUUGACUGGGUCUAUACAUGUCAUUUCCCAUCCUCAUAAAGGGAUUUAAGUUUCAGGAGCAAUUUCCCCAAAUAAACACUGUGAAUGAGGUAGUACA
Molecule: long non-coding RNA, 1087 nt
Filed under: Monodelphis domestica (gray short-tailed opossum)
Lineage: Eukaryota; Metazoa; Chordata; Mammalia; Didelphimorphia; Didelphidae
Description: lncRNA (ENSMODG00000034315.2)
Source: RNAcentral